AGCAGCCGCGGUAAUUCCAGCUCCAAUAGCGUAUAUUAAAGUUGUUGCAGUUAAAAGCUCGUAGUUGAAUUUCGGGGUUCUACCGUCGGUCGGGCUACCAAGUCUGUACUGGUGUGUAGAAUUUCUACCUUCUGGGGAACCAUCAUGUUAUUAAUUUAGCGUGGUGGGAAACCAGGACCUUUACCUUGAAAAAAUUAGAGUGUUCAAAGCAGGCUUAUGUCUGAAUACAUUAGCAUGGAAUAAUAGAAUAGGACGGUGGUCCUGUUUUGUUGGUUUCUGAAUCACCGUAAUGAUUAAUAGGGAUAGUUGGGGGCAUUAGUAUUCAAUUGUCAGAGGUGAAAUUCUUGGAUUUAUUGAAGACUAACUUCUGCGAAAAGCAUUUGCCAAGGAUGUUUUCAUUAAUCAAGAACGAAAGUUAGGGAUCGAAGACGAUCAGAUACCGUCGUAG
This 448-nucleotide ribosomal RNA is filed under the name uncultured Glomeromycotina. RNAcentral's name for it is "SSU rRNA". It matches the Rfam family "Eukaryotic small subunit ribosomal RNA", at positions 569 to 1023 of the family's 1831-position model. Lineage: Eukaryota; Fungi; Glomeromycota. The record is from RNAcentral.